Molecule: ribosomal RNA, 468 nt
Filed under: uncultured bacterium
Lineage: Bacteria
Description: partial 16S ribosomal RNA
Rfam family: Bacterial small subunit ribosomal RNA
Source: RNAcentral
GACGAACGCUGGCGGCGUGCUUAACACAUGCAAGUCGAACGGAAAGGCCCUGCUUUUGUGGGGUGCUCGAGUGGCGAACGGGUGAGUAACACGCGAGUAACCUGCCCUUGACUUUGUGAUAACUUCAGGAAACUGGGGCUAAUACCGGAUAGGAGCUUCUGCUGCGUGGUGGGGGUUGGAAAGUUUCGGCGGUGGGGGAUGGACUGGCGGCUUAUCGGCUUGUUGGUGGGGUAGUGGCUUACCAAGGCUUUGACGGGUAGCCGGCCUGAGAGGGUGGACGGCCACAUUGGGACUGAGAUACGGCCCAGACUCCUAUGGGAGGCAGCAGUGGGGAAUAUUGCACAAUGGGCGGAAGCCUGAUGCAGCAACGCCGCGUGCGGGAUGACGGCCUUCGGGUUGUGAACCGCUUUCGCCUGUGACGAAGCGUGAGUGACGGUAAUGGGUAAAGAAGCACCGGCUAACUACGUG